Sarcophilus harrisii (Tasmanian devil) is the source of this 1061-nucleotide long non-coding RNA. RefSeq lists it as uncharacterized. The record is from RefSeq and is a predicted model, not a curated record. The transcript is spliced from 3 exons. NCBI's taxonomy places the organism in Eukaryota, Metazoa, Chordata, Mammalia, Dasyuromorphia, Dasyuridae.
CUAGUGAGUGGACGGAAUGUACUUGAAAUACUGGUAUACUGACAGCUAGGAGGCAUAGGUAACGCUCUCAACAGACAUGAUCACCAACUGACUUAGCGGCUCUCUCACGACCCUGAGAAGUCUCCACUCACACAGAGGUGGGGUUCCAGAAGUGGUUGGAAGACUCUCUAGAAGGAAAAGCAUCUUGCUUUUUAAUGAAAGAAGUAUUUUUAUUGAUAGACAUUUUGAUGACUGAGUAGUCUGUUAUCUGUUUGUGGAAUUUGUCAAGAAUCUUUUUUCAUCAAACAUGGGUCUCUGUGCAUUCCACAGUUAACAGCUGUACCAAUCCAAGCCUAAGAGAACCCUGGAUGGGGUGAGUCAGGCGGUAAGAGUUCUGCUGAAAACGUCUCACCUGGAAGUUGUUCUCUGGAUGUCUUACAGAAAUACUCAACCUGCAUAUAAAUGCUACAUGAAUAACAAUGCAUGUAACAGCCUAGAGAAGAGAAUUCCCUGGUGCAGAAAUGGCUCCAUGGAAAACGGCAGCAUCCACUCCUUAAGUGCUCACUCCAGGCACACAAUGCUUCUGCCUCUCUAGAAAUACUUAUAAAUCAUUACUGUAUAUUUGAUGAUUGCUUCUUUCAUUCUCCUCUUCUUUUUAAUAAAAUAAAAAAAUAAAUGAAAAUGCUUUGGGGAUUUUUUUUAAGCCUUAUAGUAGAUCAGAAUGGAAAUGGUUAUGAAUAUGUUUUUGGAAAAGACCACACAGACCAACCCCAAUUCAUCCCUGUGCUAUUUAUUCUUUACUUGAAGAUUAGGUAAAUUGAAGCAGCUGUAUCCAUGGUCAUCCUCUCUGAAGAUACUAACAUGACUCUUAAUAAUACAGCACUUAGCUCAAUGCUUGUUGAUGAAAUGUCUUUCGUGAAAGCAGCAGACAUUUUCCAGAUAUGUUAUUUCAUGGGUGAAGUGCUAAACUUGGAGUUAGUAAGACCAAUGUUUUCAUCCUAUCUCAGGCACUUACUAUAUUAUAGUUAUAUUUCCAUGUUCAUUUAGUUAUAAUGCCAUAAAAAUCACAUAUCCUGACUCAG